UACGUAGGGGUCUAGCGUUGUCCGGAAUUAUUGGGCGUAAAGAGCUCGUAGGCGGUUCGGCAAGUCGGAUGUGAAAUCUCCACGCUUAACGUGGAGGGGCCAUUCGAAACUGCUGUGACUCGAGUCCGGUAGGGGAGUUCGGAAUUCCCGGUGUAGCGGUGAAAUGCGCAGAUAUCAGGAAGAACACCCGUGGCGAAGGCGGCUCUCUGGAACGCAACUGACGCUGAGACGCGAAAGCGUGGGGAGCAAACAGG
This 254-nucleotide ribosomal RNA is filed under the name uncultured bacterium. RNAcentral describes it as "partial 16S ribosomal RNA". It matches the Rfam family "Bacterial small subunit ribosomal RNA", at positions 524 to 776 of the family's 1533-position model. The record is from RNAcentral.